GACGAACGCUGGCGGCGUGCUUAACACAUGCAAGUCGAACGGAAAGGCCCUGCUUUUGUGGGGUGCUCGAGUGGCGAACGGGUGAGUAACACGUGAGUAACCUGCCCUUGACUUUGGGAUAACUUCAGGAAACUGGGGCUAAUACCGGAUAGGAGCUCCUGCUGCAUGGUGGGGGCUGGAAAGUUUCGGCGGUUGGGGAUGGACUCGCGGCUUAUCAGCUUGUUGGUGGGGUAGUGGCUUACCAAGGCUUUGACGGGUAGCCGGCCUGAGAGGGUGACCGGCCACAUUGGGACUGAGAUACAGCCCAGACUCCUACGGGAGGCAGCAGUGGGGAAUAUUGCACAAUGGGCGGAAGCCUGAUGCAGCAACGCCGCGUGCGGGAUGACGGCCUUCGGGUUGUAAACCGCUUUCGCCUGUGACGAAGCGUGAGUGACGGUAAUGGGUAAAGAAGCACCGGCUAACUACGUG
This 468-nucleotide ribosomal RNA is filed under the name uncultured bacterium. Its description in RNAcentral is "partial 16S ribosomal RNA". It matches the Rfam family "Bacterial small subunit ribosomal RNA", at positions 28 to 507 of the family's 1533-position model. The record is from RNAcentral.